UACGUAGGCGGAAAAUUAAGUCAGUAGUGAAAUCCUGCAGCUUAACUGUAGAACUGUUAUUGAUACUGGUUUUCUUGAAUAUAGUUGAGGUAGGCGGAAUGUGUAAUGUAGCGGUGAAAUGCUUAGAUAUUACACAGAACACCGAUUGCGAAGGCAGCUUACUAAGCUAUGAUUGACGCUGAGGUACGAAAGCGUGGGGAGCGAACAGGAUUAGAUUCCCUGGUAGUCC
This 229-nucleotide ribosomal RNA is filed under the name uncultured bacterium. RNAcentral's name for it is "partial 16S ribosomal RNA". It matches the Rfam family "Bacterial small subunit ribosomal RNA", at positions 568 to 796 of the family's 1533-position model. The record is from RNAcentral.